Molecule: long non-coding RNA, 949 nt
Organism: Folsomia candida
Lineage: Eukaryota; Metazoa; Arthropoda; Collembola; Entomobryomorpha; Isotomidae
Exons: 2
Source: RefSeq, a predicted model, not a curated record
UUGUUACGAGAUCAUUACCAAGCCGUACAAGUAUAUGACUCUACCAGAAUAGUAAAGAAUUGUUACUGGUUGGUAAUAAAUAAUUUCGUUACUAGAUCAGUAAUAAUUUAUUACGCCAUGGUAAAACUUCAUGUAGUGACGGUAAAAAUCUUUGUUAUCAAAUUAUUCGAAACCCGCGGUAAUAAAUCUUUACCAAAUACGUAAUAACGAAUAUUACCAACACGUGGAGUCGUGUCUUUACCAAACAGUAAUAAACCUAGUAAUAAGUAUUAUUACCACUGUGGAACAACUCUGUUUACCAGGGGCUUGGUAAAGAUCGUUAUUAAAAUUUUAUUACCAGUUUGCUAAGAGUGUACAUAUCUCGAAAAGUAGCCGCAUUGGAAACAUUUUUCAUCUACAUAUUUACUUACUCCGACAGAAAUUAUGAAAACGGCGACCAUAUUUUUUGCAGCUCUGCUCGUUUUAGGAGAAUUUGCCAUGACAACGGUUCAAGCACAGGGAACAUAUGUUGACGCCUGUAACGAAGUUUGCAAUCGGUCUCCACCCGAACAGAAGGAAUGCUGUUGAGCCCAUGGAUAUCGGUUGGGUAGAAGAUUCUCCUGUGUUGAAGGAAGAGUGAUUUGUUAUUGAAGGACAAAGUGGAUUUUGGCCCAACUUAGCUACUAUUUUGGCCAAAGUCUAAAAAAUCUGGGCGUGAUGUUUUUUUUGUUGUCAAGCUACUUAUGUAGGUUUUGUAAAAAUAUGUAGUCUGAAAGAGUUAGAUUUGUGACAUAAAUGACUACUUGAUGUGCCCCAAUAUCAACGAAUAAUAAAUAUAUGAUUGUAGCAUCGUUUACAAUCUACUAAAAAUAUUAGUAGCUAUUAUUAGCUAAUACUUUUGGACUUUAAAUUUCAAAAUUAUAAUAUUUAGAUAUUUAGAGCAAAUAAACCAAGCAGUGUAGGAAUUCAG